CGAUAGCGCGGUCACAUGAAUAGAACCAGUCAGUUUAAAUUGUGCUUUCGACGCGAACAGACGUUAGUAGUUAUAAUAUCAAUACGCUAUCUUAUUGUAAAUCUUUGUAAAUAACUUUCUGUGUUAAAGUGUAAUGAUUUUAAAAUAAAAUGGAACGUGGGAAGAAGUUAACUCCAGAAGAUAUUAUAAGAAUUGGAACAUUAAAAGAAGAACAUUAUCCAUUGCGUGAAAUAGCUCGACGAAUGGGUAGAUCGCAUCAUGUGAUCAUGAAGUAUUUAGAAGAUCCAGAAAAUUAUGGUAAGCGAUAUAAAGGAAGAACAAAACGAGCCACAACAGAAAAAGAAAGACGGCGCAUACUUCGUGACGUGAAGCAUCUAAUUCUUCUCUAACUGCUCGUCAAAUAGCACAAAAGGUGGGCACGCAAGCAUCUGUCCGUACAGUGCGACGGAUCAUAAACAAGUGCUCGUUAGUGAAACGUCUGAAAAUUAAGAAACGACCUGCUUUAAAUCACCGACAUUAUUCCUUGCGUUUAGAAUUUGCACGACAGCAUAUGACAUGGAAAUUAGAAUGGUACAAAGUAAUAUUUACUGGCGAAAAGAAGUUUAAUUUGGAUGGUCCAGAUGGCUAUGCAUAUUAUUUUCAUGAUAUUCGGAAAGAAGAAAGGUAUUUGUCCAGACGACACAGCGCUUUAGGAAGUAUAAUGGUGUGGGGUGCUAUCUGUAGUGAGGGUGUGCUGGACCUAGUUUUGCUUGAAGCAUGAUAAUGCACCUAUUCACACGGCGAAGCCUGUGAAAAAAUGGUUCGUGGAUAAUAAUAUCGAAAUUCUUGAGUGGCCUUCCGUAUCACCCGAUCUUAAUAUUAUGGAAAAUGUAUGGGGAUGGCUAACGAGAAAAUUGUACGCAGAUGGAACACAAUUUGACAAUAAAGAAGCUCUGAGAUCGGCUUUAAUAAAAGAGUGGUCGGCGAUACCUCGACACUACCUUCAGUCGUUGUAUGAUUCAAUGCCCAGUCGACUUUUUGAAGUAAUUAGAAAUAAUGGAAAAAAUACUAAAUAUUAAUACACUUUUCAUAAUUG
Molecule: long non-coding RNA, 1075 nt
Organism: Leguminivora glycinivorella
Lineage: Eukaryota; Metazoa; Arthropoda; Insecta; Lepidoptera; Tortricidae
Exons: 2
Source: RefSeq, a predicted model, not a curated record